This 72-nucleotide transfer RNA is filed under the name Petillopsis calcar. Its description in RNAcentral is "tRNA-Val". Lineage: Eukaryota; Metazoa; Arthropoda; Insecta; Hemiptera; Coreidae. The record is from RNAcentral.
CAAGUUAAGUUCUAGGAACAUUAUUAUUUACACUGAUAAUUUGGUUUUAACGUGCAAUUCGGCCUGACUUGA